CGGUCAUAUGCUCAGUUAAAAGAUUAAGCCAUGCACGUCUAAGUUCAUCUCUCGAAGUGAAACUGCGAACGGCUCAUUAUAUCAGUUAUGAUUUACUUGAUUUUGAUUAUCUAUGGAUAACUGYGGUAAUUCUGGAGCUAAUACAUGCAUCAAAACCCAGAUCGUAAGAGACGGGUGCACUUAUUAGACUUAUACCAGCCGGGCAACCGAUACUGGUGACUCUGAAUAACCCAGCCGAUCGCUGCUUCGGCGGCGACGUCUCAAUCAAGUUUCUGCCUUAUCAACUUUCGAUGGUAGUUUAUGUGACUACCAUGGUUGUAACGGGUAACGGAGAAUAAGGGUUCGACUCCGGAGAGGGAGCCUGAGAAACGGCUACCACAUCCAAGGAAGGCAGCAGGCGCGCAAAUUACCCACUCUCAAUACGAGGAGGUAGUGACUAACAAUAACGAGACAGCUCUCUUUGAGGGUUGUUAUCGGAAUGGGUUCAAUCUAAACCCUUUAUCGAGGAUCUAUGAGAGGGCAAGUCUGGUGCCAGCAGCCGCGGUAAUUCCAGCUCUCAAGGCGUAUAUCGCCAUUGCUGCGGUUAAAAAGCUCGUAGUUGGAUCUGAGCCGAUGGACGCUGUCUCGCUUCGGCGGGUACAGUCGUUCUCGGCUACACAUUGCAAUGUGCGGCAGUUUCGGCUGUUCGUGCUUGCAGAGUUACUUUGAAUAAACUAAAGUGCUCAACACAGGCGUCUCGCCUGAAUAUCUAUGCAUGGAAUAAUGGAAUAGGAUCUCGGUUCUGUUUCGUUGGUUGAUAGACCAGGAUAAUGAUUAAGAGGGACAACUCGGGGGCAUUCGUAUCGCUGCGUGAGAGGUGAAAUUCUUGGACCGCAGCGGGACGCCCUAUUGCGAAAGCAUUUGCCAAGAAUGUCUUCGUUAAUCAAGAACGAAAGUCAGAGGAUCGAAGGCGAUUAGAUACCGCCCUAGUUCUGACCGUAAACUAUGCCAACUCGCGAUCAGAUGGUGCCAUAUCGGCCCGUCUGGGAGCGUCCCGGAAACGAAAGUCUUCGGGUUCCGGGGGAAGUAUGGUUGCAAAACUGAAACUUAAAGGAAUUGACGGAAGGGCACCACCAGGAGUGGAGCCUGCGGCUUAAUUUGACUCAACACGGGAAAACUCACCCGGCCCGGACACUCGAAGGAUUGACAGAUUGAAAGCUCUUUCUUGAUUAAGUGGUUGGUGGUGCAUGGCCGUUCUUAGUUGGUGGUGUGAAUUGUCUGGUUAAUUCCGACAACGAGCGAGACUCUAUUCUAUUAAAUAGGGUAGGCGGAUUCGUCCGUCUUUCACCUUCUUAAAGAGACAAGCGGUGUAAGCCGCACGAGAUUGAGCAAUAACAGGUCUGUGAUGCCCUUAGAUGUCCGGGGCUGCACGCGCGCUACACUGGAGGGAUCAGUCGGUCGCCUAGCUCGAAAGAGCCUGGUAAACCUUCCAAAACCCUCCGUGUCUGGGAUAGGGCAUUGUAAUUAUUGCCCUUGAACGAGGAAUUCCUAGUAAGUGUGAGUCAUUAGCUCGCAUUGAUUACGUCCCUGCCCUUUGUACACACCGCCCGUCGCUACCCGGAACUGAGCCUCUUUGAGAAGUGCGGGAAUCGGUGGAAGUUCGAUUUCGGUCGUCUUCUACUGAGAACCGACCUAAUCACAGAGGUUUGAACCGGGUAAAAGUCGUAACAAGGUAUCGGUAGGU
Molecule: ribosomal RNA, 1723 nt
Filed under: Rhabditoides inermis
Lineage: Eukaryota; Metazoa; Nematoda; Chromadorea; Rhabditida; Rhabditidae
Description: SSU rRNA
Rfam family: Eukaryotic small subunit ribosomal RNA
Source: RNAcentral